This 278-nucleotide unclassified non-coding RNA is filed under the name Basidiomycota sp. RNAcentral describes it as "partial contains small subunit ribosomal RNA, internal transcribed spacer 1, and 5.8S ribosomal RNA". The stretch from base 1 to 47 matches the Rfam family "Eukaryotic small subunit ribosomal RNA", at positions 1785 to 1831 of the family's 1831-position model. Lineage: Eukaryota; Fungi; Basidiomycota. The record is from RNAcentral.
AAAGUCGUAACAAGGUUUCCGUAGGUGAACCUGCGGAAGGAUCAUUAUUGAUUUAAAGAUGUGCUGGCACUCCUUUAUAGGUUUGCAUGUGCACUCUGCAAAAUCUCCUUCUCUACCCCAUUGUGCACACUCCAGUAGGCAAACAGAGGUUCAUAGAGUAAUCUAUGCAAUCUUAUUUGCCUAUGUUUUUAUCAAACACCAAUAACUAGAAUGUUUUAUAGUAAGCUUUUAAAAGCUGAAAUUUAAUACAACUUUCAACAAUGGAUCUCUUGGUUCUC